Long non-coding RNA from Gastrolobium bilobum, 635 nucleotides. RefSeq lists it as uncharacterized. Lineage: Eukaryota; Viridiplantae; Streptophyta; Magnoliopsida; Fabales; Fabaceae. The transcript has 4 exons. The record is from RefSeq and is a predicted model, not a curated record.
ACCCGUGUGACCAGCUUUAAAAAUUUGAACACUACUCUACUACCCUUCCUCUUCCUUAUGCGCUUAAGUAGGCAGAGAAAUACACAACCAUCACACUUCAUCUUCAAACUCUUUCACAUUCUCUCAUUUCUGCCGCUAGAACACAAGCAAUCAAUCAGAAAAAUUAAACCUCACUACUCCUCCUCUCUUGUGCGCUAGCAAGAGAGGUAAGAUACCUUAUCCCUUUCAAGCUCCUUCCUUCAUUAAUCUUGUGCUAAACUCCAGCCGUACAAGCAAAGAAGAUAAUCAAGCUUUGAAGACAGAAAUCUCUCCUUUCUUCCUCGGUUUCCCAUCAUCAAGGAGCGGCAACUUGGACUUAUUGCUCUAAGAAAACAACCUCUUUAAGCUCUCAAGUUUCAUUCCAAAGUAUCCUAGUAUAGCCUUGCCUAGAACAAGUACCCAAGCUCCUAGGAACUCUCAUUGAUUUGAAGACAUUAUUGGUUAAGUAUCUCGGAGAUUAAGCGGAAGAAAAAGCGUUUAAAGGGAGAUGCACGUAGGUUGUUUGCGCUCUUUGUUUGGAAAUUAUUGGACUUGAUAAGUUGCUGGAAUUUUUUUUGUAUUAUUUGCAAGACACUUUGGUUGCUGUUUCCUUUAUG